This 1173-nucleotide ribosomal RNA is filed under the name uncultured Bacteroides sp. Its description in RNAcentral is "bacterial SSU rRNA". It matches the Rfam family "Bacterial small subunit ribosomal RNA", at positions 10 to 1177 of the family's 1533-position model. Lineage: Bacteria; Pseudomonadati; Bacteroidota; Bacteroidia; Bacteroidales; Bacteroidaceae. The record is from RNAcentral.
AGUUUGAUCCUGGCUCAGGAUGAACGCUAGCUACAGGCUUAACACAUGCAAGUCGAGGGGCAGCAUUUUAGUUUGCUUGCAAACUAAAGAUGGCGACCGGCGCACGGGUGAGUAACACGUAUCCAACCUGCCGAUAACUCGGGGAUAGCCUUUCGAAAGAAAGAUUAAUAUCCGAUAGUAUAUUAAAACCGCAUGGUUUUACUAUUAAAGAAUUUCGGUUAUCGAUGGGGAUGCGUUCCAUUAGUUUGUUGGCGGGGUAACGGCCCACCAAGACUACGAUGGAUAGGGGUUCUGAGAGGAAGGUCCCCCACAUUGGAACUGAGACACGGUCCAAACUCCUACGGGAGGCAGCAGUGAGGAAUAUUGGUCAAUGGACGAGAGUCUGAACCAGCCAAGUAGCGUGAAGGAUGACUGCCCUAUGGGUUGUAAACUUCUUUUAUAUGGGAAUAAAGUAUUCCACGUGUGGGAUUUUGUAUGUACCAUAUGAAUAAGGAUCGGCUAACUCCGUGCCAGCAGCCGCGGUAAUACGGAGGAUCCGAGCGUUAUCCGGAUUUAUUGGGUUUAAAGGGAGCGUAGGUGGAUUGUUAAGUCAGUUGUGAAAGUUUGCGGCUCAACCGUAAAAUUGCAGUUGAAACUGGCAGUCUUGAGUACAGUAGAGGUGGGCGGAAUUCGUGGUGUAGCGGUGAAAUGCUUAGAUAUCACGAAGAACUCCGAUUGCGAAGGCAGCUCACUAGACUGCAACUGACACUGAUGCUCGAAAGUGUGGGUAUCAAACAGGAUUAGAUACCCUGGUAGUCCACACAGUAAACGAUGAAUACUCGCUGUUUGCGAUAUACAGUAAGCGGCCAAGCGAAAGCAUUAAGUAUUCCACCUGGGGAGUACGCCGGCAACGGUGAAACUCAAAGGAAUUGACGGGGGCCCGCACAAGCGGAGGAACAUGCGGUUUAAUUCGAUGAUACGCGAGGAACCUUACCCGGGCUUAAAUUGCAUUUGAAUAAUCUGGAAACAGGUUAGCCGCAAGGCAAAUGUGAAGGUGCUGCAUGGUUGUCGUCAGCUCGUGCCGUGAGGUGUCGGCUUAAGUGCCAUAACGAGCGCAACCCUUAUCUUUAGUUACUAACAGGUCAUGCUGAGGACUCUAGAGAGACUGCCGUCGUAAGAUGUGAGGAAGGUGGA